This 864-nucleotide long non-coding RNA is filed under the name Salmo salar (Atlantic salmon). RNAcentral's name for it is "lncRNA (ENSSSAG00000086856.1, ENSSSAG00000105428.1)". The record is from RNAcentral. Lineage: Eukaryota; Metazoa; Chordata; Actinopteri; Salmoniformes; Salmonidae.
GUGGUAGUAGUAGAAAUGAUGAAUGUAGUGAUAGCAGUUUAGUGAUCUAGUGGUGGUAAUAGUAAUAAUGAUGAUGGUAGUGAUAGCAGUUUAGUGAUGGUGGUGGUGGUAGUAGUAGUAGUAAUGAUGAUGGUAUUGAUAGCAGUUCAGUGAUGGUGGUAGUAGUAGUAAUGAUGAUGGUAGUGAUAGCAGGUUAGUGAUGGUAGAUGUGGAAGUUGUAGUAAUGGCGAUGGUAGUGAUAGCAGUUUAGUGACGGUGGUGGUGGUAGUAGUAGUAAUGAUGAUGGUAGUGAUAGCAGUUUAGUGAUGGUGAUGGUAGUAGUAGUAAUGAUGUUGGUAGUGACAGCAGUUUAGUGAUGGUGGUGGUAGAAGUAAUAAUGAUGAUGGUAUUGAAAGCAGUUUAGUGAUGGUGGUGGUAGUAGUAGUAAUGAUGAUGGUAGUGAUAGCAGUUUAGUUAUGGUGGUGGUAGUAGUAGUGAUGAUGAUGGUAGUGAAAGCAGUUUAGUGAUGGUUGUGGUAGUAGUAGUAAUGAUGAUGGUAGUGAUAGCCAUUUAGUAAUGGUGGUGGUAGUAGUAGUAAUGAUGAUGGUAGUGAUAGCCAUUUAGUAAUGGUGGUGGUAUUAGUAGUAAUGAUGAUGGUAGUGAUAGCAGUUUAGUGAUGGUGGUGGUAGUAGUAUUAAUGAUGAUGGAAUUGAUAGCAGUUUAGUGAUGGUGGUGGUGGUAGUAGUAAAAAUGAUGAUGGCAGUGAUAGCAGUUUAGUGAUGGUGGUGGUAGUAGUAGUAACGAUGAUGGUAGUGAUAGCAGUUUAUUGAUGGUGGUUGUAUUAGUAGAAAUGAUGAAUGUAGUUAUAGCAGUUUAGUGAUGGUG